AUUGAACGCUGGCGGCAGGCCUAACACAUGCAAGUCGAACGGUAACAGGAAGAAGCUUGCUUCUUUGCUGACGAGUGGCGGACGGGUGAGUAAUGUCUGGGAAACUGCCUGAUGGAGGGGGAUAACUACUGGAAACGGUAGCUAAUACCGCAUAACGUCGCAAGACCAAAGAGGGGGACCUUCGGGCCUCUUGCCAUCGGAUGUGCCCAGAUGGGAUUAGCUAGUAGGUGGGGUAACGGCUCACCUAGGCGACGAUCCCUAGCUGGUCUGAGAGGAUGACCAGCCACACUGGAACUAAGACACGGUCCAGACUCCUACGGGAGGCAGCAGUGGGGAAUAUUGCACAAUGGGCGCAAGCCUGAUGCAGCCAUGCCGCGUGUAUGAAGAAGGCCUUCGGGUUGUAAAGUACUUUCAGCGGGGAGGAAGGGAGUAAAGUUAAUACCUUUACUCAUUGACGUUACCCGCAGAAGAAGCACCGGCUAACUCCGUG
Molecule: ribosomal RNA, 490 nt
Filed under: uncultured bacterium
Lineage: Bacteria
Description: partial 16S ribosomal RNA
Rfam family: Bacterial small subunit ribosomal RNA
Source: RNAcentral